GGCUCGGUGGUGUAAUGGUACAGCACGCGUUCCCGGAUAGGAUAAAACGCGCGUUCGAUUCCCGUCUGAGGCCG
Non-coding RNA from Parelaphostrongylus tenuis, 74 nucleotides. The record is from the annotation of a GenBank genome assembly. NCBI's taxonomy places the organism in Eukaryota, Metazoa, Nematoda, Chromadorea, Rhabditida, Metastrongylidae.